CAACUUUUUGCAGUACCUCUGAUUGGUGAAAAUGAGCAGAACCAGGUUGUUCUUUCAUUUCAUUUCUUUAUUUAUUUCACACAUGGUUCAACAGUGUUUCUUUUUCUACAUACAGAACCUUCUGCCUCUUUUCAGCAGAAAUUCUGCUCAUUCACCUCAUCUCUUGUGUUGGAGUGCCCUCUUGUGGCGCCUUUUGGGUAGUGCCUUAGUAAACGUGAACACUGCAAAGAAGUGGUAUCAGACUGGUUUGUAGUGGAGGAAUUUGUUGCCAGUUUCUUUCAUCUUUAAUCCGUAUUCAUGUUGUAAUGUAGUAACUUUUGGGGCACAAAUACCACAAUAUGGCAGAAACACUAUGUUUUGGCACAAAUACUUUGAUUUGGUAUACUUUACCUUCUUCACCCCUUUUCAGCAAAAUUUUCAUUUUUUUCACCCCUUUUCAGCACAAAUUCCGUUUUUUGGGGCUGUUUUCAGAAAAAAAAAAAACUCUUUUAAGGAGAAACUCUGCUGAUUCAUCUCUUUUCAGCGCAAGUUUCUGCUCCUUUGCCUCUUUUCUGCAGAAAUUCUGCUGAUUCACCUCUUUUCUGCAAAAUUUUCAGCCUUUUCACCUCUUAUCAGCACAAUUCUCAGCAGCUUCUGCUCAUUUCAGCAGAAUUGUCCGUCUCUCCACGUCUUCUUUGUAAGAAUGACUUUGGCUCAG
Molecule: long non-coding RNA, 697 nt
Filed under: Oreochromis niloticus (Nile tilapia)
Lineage: Eukaryota; Metazoa; Chordata; Actinopteri; Cichliformes; Cichlidae
Description: lncRNA (ENSONIG00000027773.1)
Source: RNAcentral